Molecule: long non-coding RNA, 4953 nt
Filed under: Anthonomus grandis grandis
Lineage: Eukaryota; Metazoa; Arthropoda; Insecta; Coleoptera; Curculionidae
Description: uncharacterized LOC126747403
Source: RNAcentral
AAGUUACCGUAGUAGUGAGGAUCAAGUUGCUAAUCAGUCAAGAGGAUCCACGUCUAAGGAGAUCUUCGAUCCAGUUAUUAGGACAUCUGGCAACAUCCCUUGGCCAGAAGACCAAUUUGGAGGCAUUCAAGGAGCAGAUCCAAGGGAACCUCAUCACUUUACUCUUGCAUCUAUGCGAUCCAGACGUGUAUGUUGUCAAGGCCUGUAAAAGUACGAUCCAGAAGGUCGGCCCUUAUCUGGAUUGUCUGGAGGUAAACCGCAUGAUCCAGGAGUGUUGGGCGACGACACCGAUUUGAUGUUCACGGAUUUUAUUAAGGAGUUAAUUAAACGCAUGGGAUUUAUGGAAUCAAUGAUAUCAAGGGUAUUUGGGGGUCAAAUCGAGGACGAAUUGGUUUAAAGGUCGUCUCUAAGGGCCAAAUACCGCCCUUGUCACCGGUUUGUUCUACGCCAAAGUUUCACUGGAAACUGUCUGCGAUAAACUGAUCAGACUGAUGCAAGACGAGUCAGAAGAAGUUAGGAUUAAGGCAGGUCAAGCUAUAUCGUGUUUGUUUUUAUAAUUAUUGUAGAACGGAAUGUGCUAAGGGGAUAGUAUGAUUAAGUCUUUUUAAUCAGUUUUUAGUAAGAAAUUUUAAAAAAUGUCAUUAGGGGUCAAAUCUGGCUUGUGGGAGGACUUUGUAGUUUAUAAAUUUAUCUCUGUCGCACUCAUAAUAAAAAAAAACUUGGAACGUGGAAAAACUAAAAUUUCACGAAUUUUAUUAGUUUAAAAAUUUUGCAUACCUUUUUUGUUAUUAAAGAUAGAGCCUUCAUUUAAAAACCGUCAAGUGCUCCUUGUGAAGGGGCAUCUUGUACGUAAUUAUCAAAAACUCAAAAAUUUACGGUUUUUGAGAAAAAUCGAAAUUUCGGUAUUUUACCAUUAACAUGUACUUUAUUAGAUCGAAAAUCUUGCAUAACUUUUUUGGUAUUAAAGAUAGAGCCUUCAUUUAAAAAGUGUCAAGUGCUCCUUGUGAAGGAGCAUCUUGUACGUAAUUAUCAAAAAGUGAAAAAUUACGGUUUUUGAGAAAAAUCGAAAUUUCGGUAUUUUACUAUUAACAUGUACUUUAUUAGAUCGAAAAUCUUGCAUAACUUUUUUGGUAUUAAAGAUAGAGCCUUCAUUUAAAAACCGUCAAGUGCUCCUUGUGAAGGGGCAUCUUGUACGUAAUUAUCAAAAAGUGAAAAAUUACGGUUUUUGAGAAAAAUCGAAAUUUCGGUAUUUUACUAUUAACAUGUACUUUAUUAGAUCGAAAAUUUUGCAUAACUUUUUUGGUAUUAAAGAUAGAGCCUUCAUUUAAAAACCGUCAAGUGCUCCUUGUGAAGGAGCAUCUUGUACGUAAUUAUCAAAAAGUGAAAAAUUACGGUUUUUGAGAAAAAUCGAAAUUUCGGUAUUUUACUAUUAACAUGUACUUUAUUAGAUCGAAAAUCUUGCAUAACUUUUUUGGUAUUAAAGAUAGAGCCUUCAUUUAAAAAGUGUCAAGUGCUCCUUGUGAAGGGGCAUCUUGUACGUAAUUAUCAAAAACUGAAAAAAUUAUAGUUUUUGAGAAAAAUCGAAAUUUCGGUAUUUUACCAUUAACAUGUACUUUAUUAGAUCGAAAAUCUUGCAUAACUUUUUUGUUAUUAAAGAUAGAGCCUUCAUUUAAAAAGUGUCAAGUGCUCCUUGUAAAGGGGCAUCUUGUACGUAAUUAUCAAAAACUGAAAAAUUUACGGUUUUUGAGAAAAAUCGAAAUUUCGGUAUUUUACCAUUAACAUGUACUUUAUUAGAUAGAAAAUGUUGCAUAACUUUUUUGUUAUUAAAGAUAGAGCCUUCAUUUAAAAAGUGUCAAGUGCUCCUUGUGAAGGGGCAUCUUGUACGUAAUUAUCAAAAAGUGAAAAAUUACGGUUUUUGAGAAAAAUCGAAAUUUCGGUAUUUUACUAUUAACAUGUACUUUAUUAGAUCGAAAAUCUUGCAUAACUUUUUUGUUAUUAAAGAUAGAGCCUUCAUUUAAAAACCGUCAAGUGCUCCUUGUGAAGGGGCAUCUUGUACGUAUUUAUCAAAAACUCAAAAAUUUACGGUUUUUGAGAAAAAUCGAAAUUUCGGUAUUUUACCAUUAACAUGUACUUUAUUAGAUCGAAAAUUUUCCAUAACUUUUUUGGUAUUAAAGAUAGAGCCUUCAUUUAAAAAGUGUCAAGUGCUCCUUGUGAAGGAGCAUCUUGUACGUAAUUAUCAAAAAGUGAAAAAUUACGGUUUUUGAGAAAAAUCGAAAUUUCGGUAUUUUACUAUUAACAUGUACUUUAUUAGAUCGAAAAUCUUGCAUAACUUUUUUGUUAUUAAAGAUAGAGCCUUCAUUUAAAAACCGUCAAGUGCUCCUUGUGAAGGGGCAUCUUGUACGUAUUUAUCAAAAACUCAAAAAUUUACGGUUUUUGAGAAAAAUCGAAAUUUCGGUAUUUUACCAUUAACAUGUACUUUAUUAGAUCGAAAAUUUUCCAUAACUUUUUUGUUAUUAAAGAUAGAGCCUUCAUUUAAAAACCGUCAAGUGCUCCUUGUGAAGGGGCAUCUUGUACGUAAUUAUCAAAAAGUGAAAAAUUACGGUUUUUGAGAAAAAUCGAAAUUUCGGUAUUUUACUAUUAACAUGUACUUUAUUAGAUCGAAAAUUUUGCAUAACUUUUUUGGUAUUAAAGAUAGAGCCUUCAUUUAAAAACCGUCAAGUGCUCCUUGUGAAGGGGCAUCUUGUACGUAUUUAUCAAAAACUCAAAAAUUUACGGUUUUUGAGAAAAAUCGAAAUUUCGGUAUUUUACCAUUAACAUGUACUUUAUUAGAUCGAAAAUUUUCCAUAACUUUUUUGUUAUUAAAGAUAGAGCCUUCAUUUAAAAACCGUCAAGUGCUCCUUGUGAAGGGGCAUCUUGUACGUAAUUAUCAAAAAGUGAAAAAUUACGGUUUUUGAGAAAAAUCGAAAUUUCGGUAUUUUACUAUUAACAUGUACUUUAUUAGAUCGAAAAUCUUGCAUAACUUUUUUGGUAUUAAAGAUAGAGCCUUCAUUUAAAAAGUGUCAAGUGCUCCUUGUGAAGGGGCAUCUUGUACGUAAUUAUCAAAAACUGAAAAAAUUAUAGUUUUUGAGAAAAAUCGAAAUUUCGGUAUUUUACCAUUAACAUGUACUUUAUUAGAUCGAAAAUCUUGCAUAACUUUUUUGUUAUUAAAGAUAGAGCCUUCAUUUAAAAAGUGUCAAGUGCUCCUUGUAAAGGGGCAUCUUGUACGUAAUUAUCAAAAACUGAAAAAUUUACGGUUUUUGAGAAAAAUCGAAAUUUCGGUAUUUUACCAUUAACAUGUACUUUAUUAGAUAGAAAAUGUUGCAUAACUUUUUUGUUAUUAAAGAUAGAGCCUUCAUUUAAAAAGUGUCAAGUGCUCCUUGUGAAGGGGCAUCUUGUACGUAAUUAUCAAAAAGUGAAAAAUUUACGGUUUUUGAGAAAAAUCGAAAUUUCGGUUUUUUACAAUUAACAUGUACUUUAUUAGAUCGAAAAUAUUGCAUAACUUUUUUGGUAUUAAAGAUAGAGCCUUCAUUUAAAAACUGUCAAGUGCUCCUUGUAAAGGGGCAUCUUGUACGUAAUUAUCAAAAACUGAAAAAUUUACGGUUUUUGAGAAAAAUCGAAAUUUCGGUAUUUUACCAUUAACAUGUACUUUAUUAGAUCGAAAAUGUUGCAUAACUUUUUUGUUAUUAAAGAUAGAGCCUUCAUUUAAAAAGUAUCAAGUGCUCCUUGUGAAGGGGCAUUUUGUACGUAUUUAUCAAAAACUGACAUGUACCCCUCUAAUCAUAGAGCGUCUAUUAUCUUUACCAAAAACGCUGAAAUAUUGACGAUUUUUGUGAAAAAGUGAAAUAUUUAAAUUUCCGAUAUUAAUAGAAGGUGGUACGAACCAAAACUACUGUAGCUCAGUUAAUUUUGCACCAAAAAAAUGUUUCAUAUAGGAAAAUCAUCUUCAGGGAUCCCUCUAAAGUUUCUUAUAAAAAUUACAUAAAUCCCACAACAACUCUUUGAGUUGCCCUCAAAUUUGCGCCUCUAUAUUCAUGUUAAAUCUCCUAAAAUUCAAUUUUUAACUUCCAAGGUCCACCUUUUGCAAACCUAUGUGUAACUUAAAAAGUUUUUAUGCUACAAAAAUUCUUUAUAUACGAAAAUGUUCCCUAUGAAUUGCCUCAACUUUAAGUGAAAGCCUCACUCAAAUCCCUCAAAUAGUUUUUGAGUUAUCAUGGAGGGAAUUGAGAUUUUUAUAGGUAAAGGUGCUACGAGCCAAAAACGCUGUAGCUCAGUUAGUUUCUUAUCUAAAAAAAUGUUUCGUACAGGAAAUUAAUCUGCAGGGAUCCCUCUUCAGGUACUUAAGAAAAUUAUGAAAAUCCUUCAAUAACUUUUUGAGUUACACUCAAAUUUGUCUCUAUAUAUUCCUAUGACCUAAAAUUCAAUAUUUACCAUUCUAAGUUCAGCAAAUUUAUUAGUUUUUAAUUUUAGGGUAAAUUAGGUUUGACUAGUAAGUCUUCCUGAAGGUUAUUAUUCCUGUUUCUUUUUUACAGUAAAUCUAACAUUUGAUGAACAUGGCAAAAAACAGACAUUUCACUUUUACUCAUAAACCAUCAAUUUUUCAGCGUUUUUGGUAAUUACAUAAAAGAUGCUCCUUCACUUGGUGCACAUGUCGUUCUUUAAAUGAAAGCUCUAUCUUCAACAACAAAAAAGUUAUUGCACAUUUUCCUUAGGUAAUAUAAUGAGUUAGACAAAGAUAUUAUUAUUAAGUAUACUUACCCCAUAUACUUUUGUAAGGAGGAGGGGAUAAAUAAAAUUUUCCUAUGUGAUAUUUAGUAAGUACCAUUUAUUGUAUCCAAUAGACUGUUAGGAAUAGAACGCUUUGAAUCUUUAUAGUUAAGUGGACAUUAAAUAAUAAUAAAAUAUUAAUAAACUUGA